Molecule: long non-coding RNA, 209 nt
Organism: Octopus sinensis (East Asian common octopus)
Lineage: Eukaryota; Metazoa; Mollusca; Cephalopoda; Octopoda; Octopodidae
Exons: 3
Source: RefSeq, a predicted model, not a curated record
UUUCCUUCGAUGGAACAACAGUUUUUCUGUGACAGCAGUUUUACAUUUGCCAGAUUGCCUUAGCUUGACCGAAAUAAUGUCUUCACCACUUGACCCUUAUAACCUCUUCUACUUCACCAAAAGCUAGAAUAGAGAUAUCACAGUACCACCAACGAAGCCCAUUGUUCUCAACGAUAUGUCUAUCCUUCUGGAUAGUUAUAAAAGCAAGA